RNAcentral lists this ribosomal RNA (442 nucleotides) under Ureibacillus sp. R-26922. RNAcentral's name for it is "bacterial SSU rRNA". It matches the Rfam family "Bacterial small subunit ribosomal RNA", at positions 32 to 462 of the family's 1533-position model. The record is from RNAcentral. Lineage: Bacteria; Bacillati; Bacillota; Bacilli; Caryophanales; Caryophanaceae.
AACGCUGGCGGCGUGCCUAAUACAUGCAAGUCGAGCGAACCAAUUGAAAGCCUAGCUUUCAUGAGGUUAGCGGCGGACGGGUGAGUAACACGUGGGUAACCUGCCCUAUAGACUGGGAUAACUCGCGGAAACGCGUGCUAAUACCGGAUAAYACAUCARAGUGCAUGCUUUGAUGUUGAAAGAUGGUUCUGCUAUCACUAUAGGAUGGGCCCGCGGCGCAUUAGCUUGUUGGUGGGGUAACGGCCUACCAAGGCGACGAUGCGUAGCCGACCUGAGAGGGUGAUCGGCCACACUGGGACUGAGACACGGCCCAGACUCCUACGGGAGGCAGCAGUAGGGAAUCUUCCACAAUGGGCGAAAGCCUGAUGGAGCAACGCCGCGUGAGCGAAGAAGGUCUUCGGAUCGUAAAGCUCUGUUGUAAGGGAAGAACAAGUGCAGUAGU